AGGGUUCGAUUAUGGCUCAGGAUGAACGCUAGCGGCACGCUUCAUACAUGCAAGUCGAGGGGCAGCAUAAAUUGCUUGUAAUUUGAUGGCGACCGGCGAACGGGUGCGUAACGCGUAUGCAACUUACCUUUUACUAGAGAAUAGCCAAGAGAAAUUUUGAUUAAUGCUCUAUACUCUUAUUAACUCACAUGAGUUUUUAAGAAAAGCUCCGGCGGUAAAAGAUGGGCAUGCGUCCUAUUAGCUUGUAGGUGAGGUAACGGCUCACCUAAGCUCCGAUAGGUAGGGGUCCUGAGAGGGAGAUCCCCCACACUGGUACUGAGACACGGACCAGACUUCUACGGAAGGCAGCAGUAAGGAAUAUUGGACAAUGGAGGAAACUCUGAUCCAGCGAUGCCGCGUGAAGGAAGACGGCCCUAUGGGUUGUAAACUUCUUUUAUACAGGAAUAAACCUAUCCACGUGUGGAUAGCUGAAGGUACUGUAAGAAUAAGGAUCGGCUAACUCCGUGCCAGCAGCCGCGGUAAUAC
Molecule: ribosomal RNA, 525 nt
Filed under: uncultured bacterium
Lineage: Bacteria
Description: bacterial SSU rRNA
Rfam family: Bacterial small subunit ribosomal RNA
Source: RNAcentral